Molecule: small RNA, 20 nt
Filed under: Karenia brevis
Lineage: Eukaryota; Dinophyceae; Gymnodiniales; Kareniaceae
Description: trans-spliced leader sequence SL
Source: RNAcentral
ACGUGUCAUUUUGGCUCAAG